GGAUGACACUUUUCGGAGCGUAAACUCCUUUUGUUAGGGAAGAACAAUGACGGUACCUAACGAAUAAGCACCGGCUAACUCCGUGCCAGCAGCCGCGGUAAUACGGAGGGUGCAAGCGUUACUCGGAAUCACUGGGCGUAAAGGGCGCGUAGGCGGAUAAUCAAGUCUCUUGUGAAAUCCAAUGGCUUAACCAUUGAACUGCUUGGGAAACUGAUUAUCUAGAGUAAGGGAGAGGUAGAUGGAAUUCUUGGUGUAGGGGUAAAAUCCGUAGAGAUCAAGAAGAAUACCCAUUGCGAAGGCGAUCUGCUAGAACUUAACUGACGCUAAUGCGCGAAAGCGUGGGGAGCAAACAGGAUUAGAUACCCUGGUAGUCCACGCCCUAAACGAUGUAUACUAGUUGUUGCUUUGCUAGUCAAGGCAGUAAUGCACCUAACGGAUUAAGUAUACCGCCUGGGGAGUACGGUCGCAAGAUUAAAACUCAAAGGAAUAGACGGGGACCCGCACAAGCGGUGGAGCAUGUGGUUUAAUUCGAAGAUACGCGAAGAACCUUACCUGGGCUUGACAUCUAUGGAAUCUCUUAGAGAUAAGAGAGUGCUAGCUUGCUAGAACCAUAAGACAGGUGCUGCACGGCUGUCGUCAGCUCGUGUCGUGAGAUGUUGGGUUAAGUCCCGCAACGAGCGCAACCCACGUAUUUAGUUGCUAACGGUUAGGCCGAGCACUCUAAAUAGACUGCCUUCGUAAGGAGGAGGAAGGUGUGGACGACGUCAAGUCAUCAUGGCCCUUAUGCCCAGGGCGACACACGUGCUACAAUG
RNAcentral lists this ribosomal RNA (812 nucleotides) under uncultured bacterium. RNAcentral describes it as "bacterial SSU rRNA". It matches the Rfam family "Bacterial small subunit ribosomal RNA", at positions 406 to 1232 of the family's 1533-position model. The record is from RNAcentral.